RNAcentral lists this ribosomal RNA (465 nucleotides) under uncultured bacterium. RNAcentral describes it as "partial 16S ribosomal RNA". It matches the Rfam family "Bacterial small subunit ribosomal RNA", at positions 28 to 507 of the family's 1533-position model. The record is from RNAcentral.
GAUGAACGCUGGCGGCGUGCUUAACACAUGCAAGUCGAACGGAAAGGCUCCUGCUUGCAGGGGUACUCGAGUGGCGAACGGGUGAGUAACACGUGGGUGAUCUGCCCUGCACUUCGGGAUAAGCCUGGGAAACUGGGUCUAAUACCGGAUAGGACGAUGGUUUGGAUGCCAUGGUGGGAAGUUUUUCGGUGUGGGAUGAGCUCGCGGCCUAUCAGCUUGUUGGUGGGGUAAUGGCCUACCAAGGCGUCGACGGGUAGCCGGCCUGAGAGGGUGUACGGCCACAUUGGGACUGAGAUACGGCCCAGACUCCUACGGGAGGCAGCAGUGGGGAAUAUUGCACAAUGGGCGCAAGCCUGAUGCAGCGACGCCGCGUGGGGGAUGACGGCCUUCGGGUUGUAAACUCCUUUCGCUAGGGACGAAGCGCAAGUGACGGUACCUGGAGAAGAAGCACCGGCUAACUACGUG